This is an unclassified non-coding RNA of 396 nucleotides. The stretch from base 1 to 46 matches the Rfam family "Eukaryotic small subunit ribosomal RNA", at positions 1786 to 1831 of the family's 1831-position model.
AAGUCGUAACAAGGUUUCCGUAGGUGAACCUGCGGAAGGAUCAUUACUGAGUGACCUUUUGGGUGCCCCAUGUUGUGGGGGACCGGUUACCCGACCUUUCUGUCAUUUGCACCGGGCCGCGUCUGGAGUCGUCUUUUGCCGAGGCUGGGAAACCCGCGUGGCGGGAAAGAAGGCGGAGGGGGGAGACGACGACGAGGAGGACGAGGACGGGAAAGUGUGAUUUCGGCGGAGGUGGUAGGGAGCGGUCUCUCCCUUCUCGCGAGGGAAGGGAGGGGCUUUGACCUGCCCGCCGCCGGCGGUAUUUCCAACUCUUGUGUGAGGAAGCAUGAAGUCUGAAGACGAGCCGAAAGGCGGAAAAGAAAAGCAAAACUUUCAACAACGGAUCUCUUGGCUCUG